UCCGGUUUGGCACCGGCAGUCUCCCAUGAGUCCCCGACAUGACUCGCUGGCAACAUGGGACAGGGGUUGCGCUCGUUGCGCCACUUAAGGCAGCACCUCACGGCACGAGCUGACGACGGCCAUGCAACACCUGUGCACGAGCCCCGAAGGGCUGCCGUAUCUCUACGACAUUCCCGUGCAUGUCAAACCCAGGUAAGGUUCUUCGCGUCGCAUCGAAUUAAGCCACAUGCUCCGCCGCUUGUGCGGGCCCCCGUCAAUUCCUUUGAGUUUUAGCCUUGCGGCCGUACUCCCCAGGCGGGGCACUUAAUGCGUUAGCUACGGCACGGAGUCCGUCGAUAGAACCCCACACCUAGUGCCCAACGUUUACGGCGUGGACUAC
RNAcentral lists this unclassified non-coding RNA (379 nucleotides) under uncultured Actinomycetes bacterium. RNAcentral's name for it is "uncultured actinobacterium contains 16S-23S intergenic spacer region". The record is from RNAcentral. Lineage: Bacteria; Bacillati; Actinomycetota; Actinomycetes.